This 360-nucleotide ribosomal RNA is filed under the name uncultured Bacteroidota bacterium. Its description in RNAcentral is "bacterial SSU rRNA". It matches the Rfam family "Bacterial small subunit ribosomal RNA", at positions 136 to 496 of the family's 1533-position model. The record is from RNAcentral. Lineage: Bacteria; Pseudomonadati; Bacteroidota.
CUGGGGUAUAGCCUUUAGAAAUGAAGAUUAAUCCCCCAUAGUCUCUUAGAGUGGCAUCACUUCUAGAGUAAAGGUUACGGUAUAAGAUGAGUAUGCGUUCUAUUAGUUUGUUGGUGUGGUAACGGCACACCAAGACUACGAUAGAUAGGGGCCCUGAGAGGGGGAUCCCCCACACUGGUACUGAGACACGGACCAGACUCCUACGGGAGGCAGCAGUGAGGAAUAUUGGACAAUGGAGGCAACUCUGAUCCAGCCAUGCCGCGUGCAGGAAGACUGCCCUAUGGGUUGUAAACUGCUUUUAUACAGGAAGAAACACCUCUACGUGUAGAGGCUUGACGGUACUGUAAGAAUAAGGAUCGG